GACGAACGCUGGCGGCGUGCUUAACACAUGCAAGUCGAACGGUGAAGCUCCAGCUUGCUGGAGUGGAUCAGUGGCGAACGGGUGAGUAACACGUGAGCAACCUGCCCCUGACUCUGGAAUAAGCGCUGGAAACGGCGUCUAGUACUGGAUACGAGAAGGGUCCGCAUGGGCACUUUCUGGAAAGUUUUUCGGUUGGGGAUGGGCUCGCGGCCUAUCAGCUUGUUGGUGAGGUAAUGGCUCACCAAGGCGACGACGGGUAGCCGGCCUGAGAGGGCGACCGGCCACACUGGGACUGAGACACGGCCCAGACUCCUACGGGAGGCAGCAGUGGGGAAUAUUGCACAAUGGGCGAAAGCCUGAUGCAGCGACGCCGCGUGAGGGAUGACGGCCUUCGGGUUGUAAACCUCUUUCAGCAGGGAAGAAGCGAAAGUGACGGUACCUGCAGAAGAAGCACCGGCUAACUACGUG
Molecule: ribosomal RNA, 468 nt
Filed under: uncultured bacterium
Lineage: Bacteria
Description: partial 16S ribosomal RNA
Rfam family: Bacterial small subunit ribosomal RNA
Source: RNAcentral